RNAcentral lists this ribosomal RNA (472 nucleotides) under uncultured bacterium. RNAcentral describes it as "bacterial SSU rRNA". It matches the Rfam family "Bacterial small subunit ribosomal RNA", at positions 328 to 793 of the family's 1533-position model. The record is from RNAcentral.
CUUCCAGACUCCUACGGGAGGCAGCAGUAGGGAAUCUUUCACAAUGGGCGAAAGCCUGACGGAGCAACGCCGCGUGAUCGAAUGAAGGCCUUCGGGUUGUAAAGAUCUGUUGACAGGGACGAAUAAGCAAUGCGAAUAGUUUUGUGUAUGGCGGUACCUGUUUAGAAAGCUCCGGCUAACUACGUGCCAGCAGCCGCGGUAAUACGUAGGGAGCAAGCGUUGUCCGGAAUUACUGGGCGUAAAGGGCGCGUAGGUGGGCGCUUAAGUCAGGUGUGAAAACUCCGGGCUCAACCUGGAGACUGCACUUGAAACUGGGUGUCUUGAGGGCAGGAGAGGAAAGUGGAAUUCCUAGUGUAGCGGUGAAAUGCGUAGAUAUUAGGAGGAACACCAGUGGCGAAGGCGGGUUCCUGGACAUUAACUGACGCUGAGGCACGAAGGUCAGGGGAGCGAAAGGGAUUAGAUACCCCCGUAG